Echinops telfairi (small Madagascar hedgehog) is the source of this 164-nucleotide small nuclear RNA. Its record names the gene U1. It matches the Rfam family "U1 spliceosomal RNA". Rfam says of the family: U1 is a small nuclear RNA (snRNA) component of the spliceosome (involved in pre-mRNA splicing). Its 5' end forms complementary base pairs with the 5' splice junction, thus defining the 5' donor site of an intron. There are significant differences in sequence and secondary structure between metazoan and yeast U1 snRNAs, the latter being much longer (568 nucleotides as compared to 164 nucleotides in human). Lineage: Eukaryota; Metazoa; Chordata; Mammalia; Afrosoricida; Tenrecidae. The record is from Ensembl.
AUACUUACCUGGCAGGGGAGACACCAUGAUCAGAGAGGUGGUUUUCCCAGGACGAGUUUCACCCAAUGCACUGUGGGUGUGCUGACCUCUGCAAUUUCCCCAAAUGCGGGAAACUCAACUGUAUAAUUUGUGGUAGUGGGGGACUGUGUUCGGGUUCUCCCCUG